GGAUGCGAGGGCAAUCUGGCUACAACAUAUGUCACCCAUUGGUCACUGGAGCUGACUAAGGUGAUCUGGCAGGAUAGGCAAGUGACCUUGCCCAUCCUAACCACUCCAUAUGCACCCCUCCAAAAGCUGCAUUCUCAUUCCAAGAGAACAGCCUUCUUUGGCAGAGGAAGGUUGUACUGGUCAGAAGUACACAGGUGCUGUGUAUGCCCCCAGCCAGAACCUUCAAACAACCUUCAAACAAGGCAGAGCAGAUCCAAAAUGGUAAAGAGGAUCUUUCUUCAAAUACCAUUUGUUGUUGUCUUGUUAUU
RNAcentral lists this small nuclear RNA (308 nucleotides) under Meriones unguiculatus (Mongolian gerbil). RNAcentral's name for it is "7SK RNA (ENSMUGG00000007101.1)". It matches the Rfam family "7SK RNA". Rfam says of the family: 7SK was discovered as an abundant small nuclear RNA in the mid-70s but a possible function has only recently been suggested. The record is from RNAcentral. Lineage: Eukaryota; Metazoa; Chordata; Mammalia; Rodentia; Muridae.